This 497-nucleotide ribosomal RNA is filed under the name Australobius scabrior. RNAcentral describes it as "partial 16S ribosomal RNA". It matches the Rfam family "Bacterial large subunit ribosomal RNA", at positions 1824 to 2600 of the family's 2925-position model. Lineage: Eukaryota; Metazoa; Arthropoda; Chilopoda; Lithobiomorpha; Lithobiidae. The record is from RNAcentral.
UGUCUUUUGUGUUGAAUAUAAAAGGUAAGACCUGCCCACUGAUUAUUUAUUGAAGGGCCGCAGUAUUUUGACUGUGCUAAGGUAGCAAAAUCAAUAGUUUUUUAAUUGGAAACUUGUAUGAAAGGUUUAAUGUAAAAAUAAUUGUUUUUUAUUAAUUAAUGAAUUUUUAGGUUAGGUGAAGAUACUUAAAUGUAAUUAAAAGACGAGAAGACCCUAUUAAGUUUAAUAAUGAUGUUUAUUGUUAGUGUAAGGUGUAUGGCCAUUGUUAUUUAGUUGGGGCAACUUAAAGAUUUAACUUUUUAUUUUAAUGAUAUUUGUGAGUAUAAUUUCUAUUAACCAUUAUUAUGAAUAAAAAAUAAAUUACUGUAGGGAUAACAGCGUAAUUCUAUUAUAGAGUUCUUAUCGAUGAUAGAGUUUGCGACCUCGAUGUUGGAUUAAGAUUCCUUUUUGGUGUAGCAGUUGAAAUAGGAAGUCUGUUCGACUUUUAAAAUCUUACA